UCCCCCUCUCUCUCUCUUUCUCCUCCCUCUUCAUCCUCCGUCGUCGUCGUGGGCUCCGGCGGCUCGGCUCGAUAGGGAAGGGAGUCGAGAGUCUAGGUUUUCGGCUUCUCUUAGCGCGGUUGAGCGAGCGGGAGCGGCAUCGAUCUACGCGCGGCGUCCGACGAUGACAAGGACGACGAUCCAAAGACGCCUCUACGGCCCGCGACUCCGGCUGCCGCGGCCGCCGCGGCCGCGGAGGAGGAGGAGGUGACGUCUAUCAAAACUGCGGCCCGUCAUGCGGAAGAAGCCCUUCCUCGGCGCGCUGCCCGAGCUCGAUCCAACGAACCUCCGACUACCACCGGUACCGUUACCGCCACCUAAGUCGCCCGGUCUCCUACCACCGAACAUGGCCGAGAGAAGCCAACCUCUUCUCUAACUGUUAGAUUCAUUGAACAGCCUGCAGCUACUAGAACGCUCAUGAAAACGAUUCAACUUGGCUUGGCAAUCACCUUGUGCCUUAGGACCACAAUAGCCACUGUCUGCUAGGUAAAGUUCUCCUUCAAGAAAUUGACAACUAACCUGACUCCUACAUCUCAAAGGGUUAAUAGUUCUAUAUAAUCUUUUACUCCUUAAGGUCCUUCCAUUUUCUACCACCAGUAGUGUCAGUGUAAGAAACCACGUCGUUCCCCUGUCGUUUGGCGAUUCAGCUUGUAGAAGGAUAGGAGUCGUCGGUGACGUCGUGGCAAGGUCACUUGGAUAGUGUCCUGGUUUCAGAGGAGGCAAAUGGAGCAAAGGCGGUGGUCCACCAUCUAGUGGUGUAGGACGAGUUCCAGAAUGUGCAGUACCCUCGUAAGGUAGUAAACCUCGACCCUAUGUCUACCCAAGAGGCUCGUACGGUGACGGUCCAAGGGGCAUAGUAUACCAACCCAAUGGAGUACCUGAUGGUAUACCCCCUUCGUACGGGAAACCACCAGGAUUAUACGUACAUCCGUUAGGUUACGUUUUACUGACCAGUUUGGUUCGGUUGGACAAGUGACCCCUCGUGGAAUUAGAUGACGGUUUGAAUAAUGUCUUUGUUUAUAGCGAAGGCUUAUCGGGUUACAGUAGUGACGAUAAGAGAGUCGUUGUCGUCUCUAACCGUGUCGAGGUUGGUAGGGUGGUAGUCUUAAUGGAUUUAAAUGGUGGGGUGGAUAAGAUGGUAGUAGUGGGGGGUCUCUAUGGUCCGUCCAAACUUAGACGAUGGUCAGAAGGAAGUAGUUCUCUGUUCUCUAGUUCUAGUCCUUCCCCUUUUGUGUCAAAUGCAAAAAGAGUUGGUGGUAGACUAUGAUGACCAUCAGUCUUGCCACUCUCACCACCUGACUUCAAAUCUAGGUUCAUGUACAGUAGACUUCUCUAGCUCAGAUAAGAUUCUUACGUCGUGAGCCGUUCAGUGUCGUCACUAGGAAUACAACAACUAAUAAUAGUAGUUCGAACGUACCGCUUUUUCCCAAGGUCAAGAUUCGUUUUCUGGUUAAAGAGGGGUUGUAGUCAAUUUCUGAACGGGAGGUUCAGAUCUAGUUCAUCACUGGUCGUACGUAUAGAAGUCCAGCUACGAGAACCCUCUCAAAGAAAGAGAAGGUAAGCGUCCGGGGCCAGAGAAGAACUUCAACUGUUAGGAAACAGUCCACUCCCAGGAGUACUAGUCUUCAGAAGCCACUCCAGGGACCUCUUUCUUGGAUACGAUCGUCGGUCCCAGUGACAACUUCUACGGUAACCAGAAGAAGAACUCCACCUACUAUAACUGUCCGAGGACGUCAGAUCGGUCCGUGUCCUCUUAUCGAAAGUCGACUCCGCUUCCGCUGUUCAAGAGGAACUUCCAGAUCGGCGUAGUGAAGUCGAACGACUGGGAGAACCCGGGUCGUUUAGACGGUUAAGUAGACCAAAUCGGGGAUUCCUACUAUAACAGAAAGAAGCGUAACAAAGAGAAGGGUUUCCUGCAUUCGAAGACCGAGCAAUAUAGGCCGAAUAACAGGGACCUUCGCUCAACUGGUCCUAACACACGUACCGAUAAAAGGCUGUGGACUCCAAGAACAAACCCCCAAAUGGUAGUCUAAGUUCACGUCGUCUCUGUUGUCAACGAGACCGUUUCUGACAAAGCUGAACACGAGUGGUAUACCUCGAACCACGAGAAUCACGAACGGAACGACGUCAGCAGACAAGUAGACUUGUUGGUGGAGAGGCAGGAGAACCAUCGAGACGACCACUGCCCCGAAGAGAAUAAUAGUUCAGUCAUGACCUGGCUCGUUGACUCAACGACUGACUAGUCGCACGGCAUAGGUCGAUAUGGGGCAGUUUGGCUCGAGAGACCGUCCGUAGCAAACUACGAAAGAAACCCGAAGACUGUUUUAUGACGGAGUCAUUCAUACUUUCAUAAGACGUCUACAAACACUACGUCCGUAGUCCGAGACACUAACCUAGACUUCGGAGAGUUCGUGGGUCGUCCCUCUACGGUCAUCUCAACGAUGCACGUUCGGAGGGAGUGUGUUUGCUCGUCGUUGCCGUCUACGACGAACUAAAGCGAGUCUCUUGGUGCGGACGGUCGUCAAAAUUAGGGGGACCACGAUCGCCACCUGUGUAGAGAAGACUUAGCCAAGGACCAAUUAUAUCGAGUUCCGGAGACGUGUUAACAGAAGCCUUACCACUAGGAAUAUAUAGGCUUCUGUACGUACUAGUGGGGGAACUAUUCCAAAACUCGACCCUCUUCAAGGUACCCGAGUCCUUUCAUCGGAAUAAAGUCAGACACUGAAUUCACAUCCAAAGUCUAAUUAGAGUAUCUGGUUGUUUUUCUCUACCUAGGGGGGAAAAUACACCCAGUAAAUGAUAUCGUGUGGGAGGACUACUAGUGUCUAUCUGGUACCUCUUGUACAUGAAUAUAACGACAUUGAGACACGUCACCUACUUGGCCAGUCGAGCGAGCAGCCCCGUUAGAUCAAAAAUUGCAAAUACGCGGGCACCACGUCUUCUGGCAUCACAUGUCCAAGCUGACGAUCUCGAAAGGACAGACAAGAAAAAUGACCUCGUACCUUCCACGGUUCCUCAGUUCACACCUCAGACCAGGUAGACAAAAUAAAUCCUGGUCCAUACAACCUUAUUACUACCCAUUCACGUUAAAUAUACGAUGACGACCUUUCUACAAAAAGAAGCAACGUUGUAAAAUAUCUACACAGUACAGGGAGGGUCCAUAGGUGACUAUAAUUAUCACCUCGUGACCUUUACCUUCGUAACAGUAAACAAGUAGAAAAAAUCAAACCGUGAAACAAAAACAGUUCCCUACACCCCGGUCAGAUCAACCGAUAUCUUGUUAUGUUAACAUAGACAACUACUUAGUUUCUAUCUUUAAUAUCUUAGUGUUAGUUGGUCUC
RNAcentral lists this ribosomal RNA (3380 nucleotides) under Triticum aestivum (bread wheat). RNAcentral's name for it is "partial small subunit ribosomal RNA". The record is from RNAcentral. Lineage: Eukaryota; Viridiplantae; Streptophyta; Magnoliopsida; Poales; Poaceae.